RNAcentral lists this ribosomal RNA (503 nucleotides) under uncultured bacterium. Its description in RNAcentral is "partial 16S ribosomal RNA". It matches the Rfam family "Bacterial small subunit ribosomal RNA", at positions 30 to 523 of the family's 1533-position model. The record is from RNAcentral.
AUUGAACGCUGGCGGCAGGCUUAACACAUGCAAGUCGAGCGGGGUGAUGGUGCUUGCACUAUCACUUAGCGGCGGACGGGUGAGUAAUGCUUAGGAAUCUGCCUAUUAGUGGGGGACAACAUCUCGAAAGGGAUGCUAAUACCGCAUACGUCCUACGGGAGAAAGCAGGGGAUCACUUGUGACCUUGCGCUAAUAGAUGAGCCUAAGUCGGAUUAGCUAGUUGGUGGGGUAAAGGCCUACCAAGGCGACGAUCUGUAGCGGGUCGGAGAGGAUGAUCCGCCACCCUGGGACUGCGACCCGGCCCAGCCUCCUACAGGAGGCAGCAGUGGGGAAUAUUGGACAAUCGGGGGAACCCUGAUCCAGCCAUGCCGCGUGUGUGAAGAAGGCCUUAUGGUUGUAAAGCACUUUAAGCGAGGAGGAGGCUCUUUUGGUUAAUACCCAAGAUGCGUGGACGUUACUCGCACAAUAAGCACCGGCUAACUCUGUGCCAGCCGCCGCCGUAA